This 459-nucleotide ribosomal RNA is filed under the name uncultured Anoxybacillus sp. Its description in RNAcentral is "bacterial SSU rRNA". It matches the Rfam family "Bacterial small subunit ribosomal RNA", at positions 923 to 1382 of the family's 1533-position model. Lineage: Bacteria; Bacillati; Bacillota; Bacilli; Caryophanales; Anoxybacillaceae. The record is from RNAcentral.
GCACAAGCGGUGGAGCAUGUGGUUAAUUCGAAGCAACGCGAAGAACCUUACCAGGUCUUGACAUCCCUCGACAACCCGAGAGAUCGGGCGUUCCCCUUCGGGGGACAGGGUGACAGGUGGUGCAUGGUUGUCGUCAGCUCGUGUCGUGAGAUGUUGGGUUAAGUCCCGCAACGAGCGCAACCCUCGACCUUAGUUGCCAGCAUUCAGUUGGGCACUCUAAGGUGACUGCCGGCUAAAAGUCGGAGGAAGGUGGGGAUGACGUCAAAUCAUCAUGCCCCUUAUGACCUGGGCUACACACGUGCUACAAUGGGCGGUACAAAGGGUCGCGAACCCGCGAGGGGGAGCCAAUCCCAAAAAGCCGCUCUCAGUUCGGAUUGCAGGCUGCAACUCGCCUGCAUGAAGCCGGAAUCGCUAGUAAUCGCGGAUCAGCAUGCCGCGGUGAAUACGUUCCCGGGCCUU